AUUGAACGCUGGCGGCAUGCCUUACACAUGCAAGUCGAACGGUAACAGGUCUUCGGACGCUGACGAGUGGCGAACGGGUGAGUAAUACAUCGGAACGUGCCCAGUCGUGGGGGAUAACUACUCGAAAGAGUAGCUAAUACCGCAUACGAUCUGAGGAUGGAAGCGGGGGACCUUCGGGCCUCGCGCGAUUGGAUGUGCCCAGAUGGGAUUAGCUUGUUGGUGGGGUAACGGCUCACCAAGGCGACGAUCCCUAGCUGGUCUGAGAGGAUGACCAGCCACACUGGAACUGAGACACGGUCCAG
RNAcentral lists this ribosomal RNA (302 nucleotides) under uncultured bacterium. Its description in RNAcentral is "bacterial SSU rRNA". It matches the Rfam family "Bacterial small subunit ribosomal RNA", at positions 30 to 334 of the family's 1533-position model. The record is from RNAcentral.